This 398-nucleotide ribosomal RNA is filed under the name uncultured bacterium. Its description in RNAcentral is "bacterial SSU rRNA". It matches the Rfam family "Bacterial small subunit ribosomal RNA", at positions 30 to 428 of the family's 1533-position model. The record is from RNAcentral.
AUUGAACGCUGGCGGCAUGCUUUACACAUGCAAGUCGAACGGCAGCACGGGCUUCGGCCUGGUGGCGAGUGGCGAACGGGUGAGUAAUGCAUCGGAACGUGCCCAUUUGUGGGGGAUAACUACGCGAAAGCGUGGCUAAUACCGCAUACGCCCUGAGGGGGAAAGCGGGGGAUUCUUCAGAACCUCGCGCAAUUGGAGCGGCCGAUGUCAGAUUAGCUUGUUGGUGGGGUAAAAGCCUACCAAGGCGACGAUCUGUAGCUGGUCUGAGAGGACGACCAGCCACACUGGGACUGAGACACGGCCCAGACUCCUACGGGAGGCAGCAGUGGGGAAUUUUGGACAAUGGGCGCAAGCCUGAUCCAGCCAUGCCGCGUGCGGGAAGAAGGCCUCGGUUGUAA